UGCCUGGUCUAUCCCAUCUGUCCCUUUUCUCCUACCAGUUCUCUCUCCUGUGACAUUUUCUUUUUUCUCUGGACAGGCAGCCUCCUUCAUGUGAAUUCAGAGGCAGUGACAACUUGCUGUCCAGGCAGCUCCCUCUCCUGCAGACAGAAUGCUCAGGGUCACUGAACCACUGCUUCUCUUUAGAAAGUAGAGCUAGCUGCCACUUUCAUGUGGCCUCCAGAGUGUCUCCACCUAACCCCUGUGCUCCCCUACCACACUGAUGGCUCAAGACAAGGCUGGCAAAACCCUCCCAGCAACAUCCCUGACUCAGAGAGGCUCUCUCACGAGGCAUGGCCAAGCCAAAUGCUCGUGUUGUGCCAGUGAGCUAGCCGUGGAGCAAAGAGGGUUUGUUUUCAGUUCCCUCUGUCUGAAUCAGAACCAGAGAGCACACCGAAUGCUCCCUGCUUGCUCAGUAAGGCUGCCCCGCCUGAGUCAGUGCUCCCAGCGGACAGUUCAAUGCUUAUAGAAGUAGGAGGAAACCCAGUCCUCCCUGAGAAACACAAGAAACAAGGGCAAGUACCCAAGUGCCUCACUUCGAAAGGAGGCCCUGUUCCCUGGAGUCAGGGUAUGUUGGAAAGCUUUGGCCGAGACUUGGGAUCUGAGAUGCCAUGUACUUUGCUGAAUAGUCUCUGUUCAGCAAACUAACCAGCAUUCCCGAAAACACAGCCUACGGCAGACAAUAGUAUAGAAGAAGUCUGGAAAAAAACAGAACAUCCAUGUUUUGAGAAACCUGGACUAGCCUUGUCCCUGUACCUCAGUCUGGCUUUGCUCUGACGAGAUUGGAAAUGUACAAUACCAGAUGCUCUGCCCACUGUUGAGCCCCGGUGGUGGAAAGGAGGAGGGCCUUUCUUCCCGUGUUGAUUGAAUAGAGGCUACAGGGGUUAGCCUGGGCUAAAGGCAUCCUCAUCUUUUGAGCUGUUCGUCUCAGUAGGAAAGAAUCUAAUGGCAGAUCACUGUAGUUUAGAUCUGCUGACCUGUGUGCCUAUCCCUUGGAAAUGUCUGUUGGGUACUUUUAAUUCCACAGGUCAUCAGAUGCCUGCUUGAUAAUAUAUGAACAAUAAAAAGAGCUUUCACUUCCUUCUAUUGUAAUCGUGUUCCCUGGAUCUGAUCCAUACCACGACCCCACACAAGGCUGGGUGCAGACCGCAGGCAGAGGGCCUCAGUGUGUGUGUGGGUGUGUAGGUGGGGGUGUGUCUGCUGCAUAAGGAACACUAUUUUCAACAUUCAGAAGCUCAUUCAAGUGAUGCAUUAAUGGGAAACUCAGAUCUGAUCAAGAGUCUGAAUUUCUAAGUCCUUCCUUGCUUUGGGUAUGCCGACAACUUAUUUGGGUGCCUUACAUCUUUUCUAAUCAGUGUUGCAUAUGAGCCACCCUCACUCCCUCUGUGGAGUCCUUUUGCACCUGAGAGCCAGGUGCAAACCAGAAGUGGCUGGUGGAAAAGGGGUCUGGCUAGAGAAUUAUCAGUAGAGUGAUUUGCAGGAUUCCCUUCUGGGCUUCAUUUUGGAAACUUUACUUAGGGCUGCAUUUAUUAAGUGCCCACAUUUGAUGGAGGGUGGAAGUAAUUUGAAUGUAUUUGGUUUAUAUAUUUUUUUUAGAUUAAAAGAUGGUUGUAGCAUUUAAAUGGAAAUUUUUCUCCUUGGUUUGCUAGUAUCUCAAGUGUAUUCUCUGUAAGUGUAGCUCAAACGGGUCAGCAUGAAAGGUUAAGAAAGCAAGGCGGCAAAUGUCACGCUGGUGGUUAAGGCCAGGGCCUCUCCUACCACUGUGCCACUGACUUGCUAUGUGACCCUGGGCAAGUCACUUAACUAUAAUGUGCCUCAGUUUUCCUUCUUUUAAAAUGGGAAUAAUAAUACUGACCUACCUCAAAGGGCAGUUUUGAGGCGUGACUAAUGCUUUUUAUAAAGCAUUUUGCGAUCUUUUAGCAGAGGUAUAAUAGCAGUGUCCACCAUGAACUUGAUGUGUCCACGUGUCCUGGAUGCUAUCAUUAGUCUAUGCGGUUCUCUGAGAGAUUGAAUGAAUCCAUUAGAUAAGUGGUAGAUAACUAGCCAGACACAAUUUGAGAACGCAUAAGAUCAUUGCCAUGGAAACAUACACAGGAUACCUUUUCCUUGACUGAGUGGGAUUUUUUCCCUUUUUAUGUGGGAUAGUAGUUAUUUGUGACCUAAGAAUAAUUUUGGAAUAAUUUCUAUUAAUAUCAACUCUGAAGCUAGUUGUACUGAUCUGAGAUUGUAUUUGUUCAUAAUAAAAGUGAAGUGAAUCUGA
Lemur catta (Ring-tailed lemur) is the source of this 2296-nucleotide RNA transcript. RefSeq lists it as uncharacterized. The transcript has a single exon. Lineage: Eukaryota; Metazoa; Chordata; Mammalia; Primates; Lemuridae. The record is from RefSeq and is a predicted model, not a curated record.